ACCUGAGUGGCUCAGUCGGUGGGGCAUCUGACUUCAGCUCAGGUCACGAUCCCGCAGUCUGUGGGUUCGAGCCCCGCGUCGGGCU
RNAcentral lists this transfer RNA (85 nucleotides) under Felis catus (domestic cat). It matches the Rfam family "tRNA". From Rfam's summary of the family: Transfer RNA (tRNA) molecules are approximately 80 nucleotides in length. Their secondary structure includes four short double-helical elements and three loops (D, anti-codon, and T loops). The record is from Rfam by way of RNAcentral. RNAcentral also lists the same sequence under 2 other names. Lineage: Eukaryota; Metazoa; Chordata; Mammalia; Carnivora; Felidae.